AACAUACCUAAACGUUGCUUCGGCGGGAACAGACGGCCCCGUGAAACGGGCCGCCCCCGCCAGAGGACCCCUAACUCUGUUUCUAUAAUGUUUCUUCUGAGUAAAACAAGCAAAUAAAUUAAAACUUUCAACAACGGAUCUCUUGGCUCUGGCAUCGAUGAAGAACGCAGCGAAAUGCGAUAAGUAAUGUGAAUUGCAGAAUUCAGUGAAUCAUCGAAUCUUUGAACGCACAUUGCGCCCGCCAGUAUUCUGGCGGGCAUGCCUGUUCGAGCGUCAUUACAACCCUCAGGCCCCCGGGCCUGGCGUUGGGGAUCGGCGGAGCCCCCCGGGGACACGCCGUCCCCCAAAUACAGUGGCGGUCCCGCCGCAGCUUCCAUCGCGUAGUAGCUAACACCUCGCGACUGGAGAGCGGCGCGGCCACGCCGUAAAACACCCAACUCUUCUGAA
This 447-nucleotide unclassified non-coding RNA is filed under the name Fusarium solani. Its description in RNAcentral is "sequence contains 18S rRNA gene, ITS1, 5.8S rRNA gene, ITS2, 28S rRNA gene". The stretch from base 123 to 276 matches the Rfam family "5.8S ribosomal RNA". The record is from RNAcentral. Lineage: Eukaryota; Fungi; Ascomycota; Sordariomycetes; Hypocreales; Nectriaceae.